Molecule: ribosomal RNA, 484 nt
Filed under: uncultured bacterium
Lineage: Bacteria
Description: partial 16S ribosomal RNA
Rfam family: Bacterial small subunit ribosomal RNA
Source: RNAcentral
GACGAACGCUGGCGGCGUGCUUAACACAUGCAAGUCGAACGAUGAACCCGGAGCUUGCUCCGGUGGAUUAGUGGCGAACGGGUGAGUAACACGUGAGUAACCUGCCCUUGACUCUGGGAUAACUGCGGGAAACUGUAGCUAAUACCGGAUACGACCCUCGGAGGCAUCUCCUGGGGGUGGAAAGAAUUUCGGUCAAGGAUGGACUCGCGGCCUAACAGCUAGUUGGUGAGGUAAAGGCUGACCAAGGCGACGACGGGUAGCCGGCCUGAGAGGGUGACCGGCCACACUGGGACUGAGGCACGGCCCAGACUCCUACGGGAGGCAGCAGUGGGGAAUAUUGCACAAUGGGCGCAAGCCUGAUGCAGCAACGCCGCGUGAGGGAUGACGGCCUUCGGGUUGUAAACCUCUUUUAGCAGGGAAGAAGCGAAAGUGACGGUACCUGCAGAAAAAGCACCGGCUAACUACGUGCCAGCCGCCGCCGUAA